Ceratotherium simum simum (southern white rhinoceros) is the source of this 100-nucleotide non-coding RNA. NCBI's taxonomy places the organism in Eukaryota, Metazoa, Chordata, Mammalia, Perissodactyla, Rhinocerotidae. The record is from RefSeq and is a predicted model, not a curated record.
CAAUAUGGUUGAAACUUGAGGACAUCAUGCUAAGUGAAAUACUCCAGUCACAGAAGGACAACUACUGCAUGAUUCUGCUUAUAUAUGGUAUGUAAAAUAG